CGGGCGUCCUCACAAACUACCUGCAUUCAGAGAUGCGUAUCGGCACAGGCCGGUAUGCGAAAGUCCCAUCAUGGGGCCUUAGCUCAGCUGGGAGAGCACCUGCUUUGCAAGCAGGGGGUCGUCGGUUCGAUCCCGACAGGCUCCACCAUUUGAGUGAAACGACUUUGGGUCUGUAGCUCAGGUGGUUAGAGCGCACCCCUGAUAAGGGUGAGGUCGGUGGUUCGAGUCCUCCCAGACCCACCACUCUGAAUGUAGUGCACACUUAAGAACUUAUAUGGAUCAGCGUUGAGGCUGAGACAUGUUCUUUUAUAACUUGUGACGUAGCGAGCGUUUGAGAUAUCUAUCUAAACGUGUCGUUGAGGCUAAGGCGGGGACUUUGAGUCCCUAAAUAAUUGAGUCGUAUGUUCGCGUUGGUGGCUUUGUACCCCACACAACACGGCAUGUGACCCUGAGGCAACUUGGGGUUAUAUGGUCAAGCGAAUAAGCGCACACGGUGAAUGCCUAGGCGGUCAGAGGCGAUGAAGGACGUGGUAGCCUGCGAAAAGUGUCGGGGAGCUG
RNAcentral lists this unclassified non-coding RNA (558 nucleotides) under Xanthomonas axonopodis pv. axonopodis. RNAcentral describes it as "partial contains 16S-23S ribosomal RNA intergenic spacer and 23S ribosomal RNA". The stretch from base 167 to 240 matches the Rfam family "tRNA". The record is from RNAcentral. Lineage: Bacteria; Pseudomonadati; Pseudomonadota; Gammaproteobacteria; Lysobacterales; Lysobacteraceae.